CCAAUCAGAGCUCGAGAAUAGAUGGUAAAAAAAUAGAAAAGUAGAGAGUAAGAGGAGUUAAGUGGAGAGGAAAAGUGAGAGAACUCAAGUUUCUUUCAGUGGAGGAACUGGAGGUCUAAAAGUUCAACAGAGUUUUGGCUUUGAGAAUCUAGUUUUGACUUAGCUUUGGAGAGUCCCCCUUCUCCUUUUUAUAUAGAAGAGUUUGUUAGGCCAUUGAGAAAGUUUGUUAGGCCGUUAAUAACCACCUG
RNAcentral lists this long non-coding RNA (248 nucleotides) under Elaeis guineensis (African oil palm). RNAcentral describes it as "long non-coding RNA (EGUI_LNC028442)". The record is from RNAcentral. Lineage: Eukaryota; Viridiplantae; Streptophyta; Magnoliopsida; Arecales; Arecaceae.